RNAcentral lists this ribosomal RNA (269 nucleotides) under uncultured bacterium. RNAcentral's name for it is "partial 16S ribosomal RNA". It matches the Rfam family "Bacterial small subunit ribosomal RNA", at positions 85 to 354 of the family's 1533-position model. The record is from RNAcentral.
UUGAUGGCGACCGGCGCACGGGUGCGUAACGCGUAUGCAACCUACCUUUUACAGGGGCAUAACACUGAGAAAUUGGUACUAAUUCCCCAUAAUAUCUGAGACGGCAUCGUUUUGGGUUGAAAACUCCGGUGGUAAAAGAUGGGCAUGCGUUGUAUUAGCUAGUUGGUGAGGUAACGGCUCACCAAGGCGACGAUACAUAGGGGGGACUGAGAGGUUAACCCCCCACAUUGGUACUGAGACACGGACCAAACUCCUACGGAAGGCAGCAG